UCCGGUUUGUCACCGGCAGUCUCGCAUGAGUCCCCAGCUUUACCUGCUGGCAACAUGCGACGAGGGUUGCGCUCGUUGCGGGACUUAACCCAACAUCUCACGACACGAGCUGACGACAGCCAUGCACCACCUGUGAAGAUGCCCCGAAGGGAAAGCCUGUUUCCAGGCCGGUCAUCCACAUGUCAAGCCCAGGUAAGGUUCUUCGCGUCGCGUCGAAUUAAGCCACAUACUCCACCGCUUGUGCAGGCCCCCGUCAAUUUCUUUGAGUUUUAGCCUUGCGGCCGUACUCCCCAGGCGGAGUGCUUAAUGCGUUAGCUGCGGCACAGAGAGGGUUGAAGACCUCCCCACACCUAGCACUCAACGUUUACGGCUGGGACUAC
This 380-nucleotide unclassified non-coding RNA is filed under the name uncultured bacterium. RNAcentral's name for it is "contains 16S-23S intergenic spacer region". The record is from RNAcentral.